This 253-nucleotide ribosomal RNA is filed under the name uncultured bacterium. Its description in RNAcentral is "partial 16S ribosomal RNA". It matches the Rfam family "Bacterial small subunit ribosomal RNA", at positions 524 to 776 of the family's 1533-position model. The record is from RNAcentral.
UACGUAGGGCGCGAGCGUUGUCCGGAUUUAUUGGGCGUAAAGCGCUCGUAGGCGGCUUGUCGCGUCGUCCGUGAAAACUUGGGGCUCAACCCCAAGCUUGCGGUCGAUACGGGCAGACUAGAGUGCGGUAGGGGAGAGUGGAAUUCCUGGUGUAGCGGUGAAAUGCGCAGAUAUCAGGAGGAACACCGGUGGCGAAGGCGGGUCUCUGGGCCGUAACUGACGCUGAGGAGCGAAAGCGUGGGGAGCGAACAGG